UACGGGGGGGGCAAGCGUUGUUCGGAAUUACUGGGCGUAAAGGGCUCGUAGGCGGCCAACUAAGUCAGACGUGAAAUCCCUCGGCUUAACCGGGGAACUGCGUCUGAUACUGGAUGGCUUGAGGUUGGGAGAGGGAUGCGGAAUUCCAGGUGUAGCGGUGAAAUGCGCAGAUAUCAGGAGGAACACCCGUGGCGAAAGCGGCUCUCUGGGACGGUACUGACGCUGAGACGCGAAAGCGUGGGGAGCAAACAGG
This 253-nucleotide ribosomal RNA is filed under the name uncultured bacterium. Its description in RNAcentral is "partial 16S ribosomal RNA". It matches the Rfam family "Bacterial small subunit ribosomal RNA", at positions 524 to 776 of the family's 1533-position model. The record is from RNAcentral.